Molecule: ribosomal RNA, 253 nt
Filed under: uncultured bacterium
Lineage: Bacteria
Description: partial 16S ribosomal RNA
Rfam family: Bacterial small subunit ribosomal RNA
Source: RNAcentral
UACGUAGGGUCCAAGCGUUGUCCGGAAUUAUUGGGCGUAAAGAGCUCGUAGGCGGUCUGUCGCGUCGGCUGUGAAAACCCGAGGCUCAACCUCGGGCCUGCAGUCGAUACGGGCAAACUAGAGUACUGCAGGGGAGACUGGAAUUCCUGGUGUAGCGGUGAAAUGCGCAGAUAUCAGGAGGAACACCGGUGGCGAAGGCGGGUCUCUGGGCAGUAACUGACGCUGAGGAGCGAAAGCGUGGGGAGCGAACAGG